UUUGGUGUAUCUAAACAUUACUCGUGGCC
This 29-nucleotide non-coding RNA is filed under the name Mus musculus (house mouse). The record is from RNAcentral. Lineage: Eukaryota; Metazoa; Chordata; Mammalia; Rodentia; Muridae.